Long non-coding RNA from Amphiprion ocellaris (clown anemonefish), 1865 nucleotides. RefSeq lists it as uncharacterized. The record is from RefSeq and is a predicted model, not a curated record. The transcript is spliced from 3 exons. Lineage: Eukaryota; Metazoa; Chordata; Actinopteri; Pomacentridae.
AGCCACCGUACUUAUGUCUCUGACGUCUGUUGCAGUUCAGCCAAUCACAUAUACACACUAUGCUGUGCGCGGGUUGUUGUUGUCAUGUGGCCAGGAUGCCAUCUCUGCAAGCUAUCUUUUAGCUGAGUGUUCAGUUAAUAAAGUGUGACGUUUUGCAACAUUGUGUGAUCCUUGACUCACACAAAGGAACAAGUUUCAACAGAUAUGAAUGAGUAGAUAGGACACGCCCCUUUGAGCUGCGUGCUACAGCGAGGCUAAGCUAGUGGGGGGAAAGUUUCAGUGCAUUUCGUUGAUGUACACGGCGUGAAAACGGAAACAACAAGUAUGCCGUCUCACUGUACUGCAUACAAUUACACACUGCGUCGUACGAUUGAGACAAGGAAACUUGGAAUGACUUUUCAUAGGUUUCCCAGAGACUAUGGGUUGAGGAGGAAUUGGAAGUUUGUCGGCUUAGACCUGGUGUCAUUCCAUCAGUGUUAAACUUCCCGGCUCAUCUUGGAAGAGUACGUGCCAGAAAGACCACGACCAAGCAGCCUUGAGAUCUUAGACAGCAUCUCCCUGAGACCAAAGAACUACAGACUCUUCACAACCUGCUCAAACUCUUGGUACAGGACCUCACCACACGGGUCAAGAAGGUUUCCGUCUCAUUUCUACUCUGAAGCUCACCUUCUCCUGCUCAAACUGCUGACAAAUGUUUCUGCUGCUCUAAAGUCUGCUCUCCAGAACUUCCUAAAAACUCUCAAAGUCUCUUCUGCUGCAGGUUGCUUUGUAGAACUGUUCCAGAAAACCUCACUAAACCACAUGGAGGGGCCUCAAGAUAGUCGUCCAAAUGAAACCAUACAAAAACCAAACUAGCACAACCCAAACACUAAAGUCUCCUGCAGCCUACCAGAGAACCUCUGAGAACAGAGAAUCAGGACAGGAACUCUUACCUUCUGGACAACCAGCAUUGGUUCACAAACAAGAAUACAGAAUGUGUCUGACCAAAAACCUCUGAAGACUCACUACAGCCAAGAUAAAGACACAACUCAGCUGCAGCAAAUCCACUAAUCACUGCACACAUUAGCACCAUGUGCUAACUGUGGCUAAAGAACCACAUUUACCAAGACAACUAUCCAGUACAAAGCCCUAAAACACACCAAGAAACACAUUAAAGACGAUUUUACUGCUGGAAGCUGCAAGCCAACACCUAAAGAACAAACUACAGCAAUGGAGCCAAACCCAGUUCACUGGUGAAGAGAAGCAGAGGAAAUGUUUGUCUGCAGCUAAAUAAAGCAGGAAGACACUGAGCUGCUCAGGUGUUCCUGAUAACACCAAGCAGCCACCUGGACAGCCAAUAGGAACACAGCUUACUGGAAGUCCAGAGGGCUGGGUUAGUGAAGGAAAUUUAGUUUAAAGUUGAGGCAGAAAGUUAACAAAGAAAGUUGAAAACCACCUUCUGAUACCUGAAAUCUCUGAGUUUUCACACAAAGAACACCUGAACAUGUCAAACUGGUUUCAUAGUAGAACCAUCAUUGUAAAAACGUCAUAGUAUGGUGUGUUGCUCAAAAAACAUUAGGACCCGGCUGUCAGGGGACAAACAUGUAAGAAACAUGAGAACAGAGAGAACCCAACCAGUAGGUCACAGUUUAUCAUCCCCCAGUCAUCUCCUGAAGUCCAUAUGGUGAGAGACAUCAGUAUCUGGUUGUUAAUUUACCAGAGGAUGCUUAUAAUCAUGCUGAUGUGGUCUGUACUCUACAGUAUUUUAGUGACUCAAUAAAUGCCUAAGUUGUUUUUUUUUUAAAUGCUUUUUAGUUUUUAAUAAACAUUUAAGAGCCUAUAUGUAAUCAAUAAAUGGCCUUUGCCUGUCUUAAGAAAAACUCACU